RNAcentral lists this ribosomal RNA (308 nucleotides) under uncultured bacterium. RNAcentral's name for it is "bacterial SSU rRNA". It matches the Rfam family "Bacterial small subunit ribosomal RNA", at positions 28 to 334 of the family's 1533-position model. The record is from RNAcentral.
GACGAACGCUGGCGGCACGCCUAACACAUGCAAGUCGAACGGACGAGAGGAAGCUUGCUUCCUUGAGUUAGUGGCGGACGGGUGAGUAACACGUGAGCAACCUGCCUCUGAGAGAGGGAUAGCUUCUGGAAACGGAUGGUAAUACCUCAUAACAUAUUUAAAUCGCAUGAUUUGAAUAUCAAAGAAAUUCGCUCAGAGAUGGGCUCGCGUCUGAUUAGAUAGUUGGUGAGGUAACGGCUCACCAAGUCGACGAUCAGUAGCCGGACUGAGAGGUUGAACGGCCACAUUGGGACUGAGACACGGCCCAG